CUUAGUAAACACACUUCACCUUUCUUUCUUCAGUUUCAGGGUAGAAAGUCUCCCUUUAACUCCUGAAGACAGUAAAUCACAGUCUGUGUGGUGGUUCUCAGAAGACACUUAAAGGACUGAACUGGAUGCUCUACAUAGCACCCUUGCCAAAAGGGUUCGGAAAUGACUUCCAGCUUCCCACAGUAAUAAAAUGGCACUGUUUGGCAUCUUCGAGGUUACAGACCACUUACUCUAAACUUCACAAAUGGUUCUGAAGAGUAUGGAGCCUACGUAGACUCAUAAGUUCCAGCAACUAGUUGGACUACAGAGGAACAAAGCAGCUUGCCCAUGUCAACAGAUCAUUUUAUGUGGACUCCAGGUUUCUGAAUGAACUUCAACACAGACCCUUGUAGACAUCUGAACUCCAUAAAUCCACAGGUGUUUAAGUAGCCCUGAAGGCUGGGUCAGAUAGCAGACUUGUUCCACUAUGACUUUACAAGGAUUUCGUACUGUGUAAGCAACACUUGCAAGGAUUUCUCUUUACUGCUGAGUAAAACCAGUAGCAGAAAGGGCCACUUUUAGUUUUCUUCCCUAAAGUAUGAUAUGGUUCAAUUUUAUUUCAGUUAUGAGCUGUGUACAUUAGGUUAUCUUGUAUACAAUGUAGGUAGUAUUUUAGUCCUUUGUUCAUGAACAGGACAACUUGGUACAAAGAAAGGCUUCUUAAGUGGAAAAAAAAUCACCAUCUUAGAAGGGCAUUCUAUUACAAUGAUUUUCUGUCUUUCUUUGUAGUGUACUAAGAAAAUUUUGAAAUAUCUAAAUAUUAUUUAUUUGUUCCAUUGAUACCGGAGGAUUUACAUACCUCAGAUAACCCUCCCAUAAAUAAAUUUGCAUGAGGUUAGUGUAAGCAAAUGAGAGAUUCUACCCAGAAGAUGUCUACAAAAUCCAGUUUUGUUUUCAUUUUACUUCUUUUGCUUUGUUUUAGUAAUUGAGCCAGAAACCAGAUUCAAAGGGCAAAUUCAGAGGAAAAGCUAAAAGUUUCAUACAAUGGUAAAUAUACAGUAUGCUUUGAAUGCUGUGAAAAACUAUGAUAUUCAAAUAUCUCUCAGUAGAACAUUCGUUCAGCUUAGACUUGGAAAUUAGGUCUAAAGAAGAAAAGCAAGGAAUUGAAAAGAAAAAAAUGUGUGUUUGAAGAGAAAAAAAAAAAAAAAAAAAAGAUUACCUGUCUGAGUAGUGUACAGUAAUCAGAAACAGGGAAAAGAAAUAAAAUCACUAGGGAAUUUUCAAGAUCAGAAAAUUCAGAGGGAAAAUGUGGAGGUCUAUAAGAGAAGAUCUCCUGCAAAUGCAUAAUUAACUCCAAUAAAAAGCCUAGAGUCUCCAUGUUGCUCAUAUUUUAAGAUUUUGGGUGAUUUUUUGGACAUGUUUAUGAUAAAAGUUUUCUGUCACAUAUUAAAAUUGUAUACUUUGAAGUGUAC
Long non-coding RNA from Rhinopithecus bieti (black snub-nosed monkey), 1451 nucleotides. The record is from Ensembl. NCBI's taxonomy places the organism in Eukaryota, Metazoa, Chordata, Mammalia, Primates, Cercopithecidae.